Molecule: small RNA, 526 nt
Filed under: Drosophila mojavensis
Lineage: Eukaryota; Metazoa; Arthropoda; Insecta; Diptera; Drosophilidae
Description: GI26298
Source: RNAcentral
AUAAAAUUCUCAGUUUUUCAAAAUUCCAAAUUCCAAAUUAAGAAAUGAAAUAAAAACCGCAACCGGACUUUUGGCUACAUUUGUCUAAAAUAAAAAACUCGUUAGAUAAAGAAGAAUAACAUAAAUUCGCUGGAAUUAUGGACCAUCGUUAACAAAUAGAUGUAAAUUUGUUUUUGGAGCAAGGUCCGAGGAUGUAGAGAUCCUUGUGUUUGCUCAUACACUUGAAUCGCGAACUCUGAACGUUGGUAUAUCGGAAUCGCUAUAUUAUAUUAUUGAGGCAUGGAGGCUGUCAUUAAUUUAUUUUCAUUUUAUGCUUCCAUAUCCUACACCGACGUUGACAGGUCUGCUGUAUAUUCAACAUGACACAAAAUACCAAAAUGAAGCAUUUUUGAACGGGGUGCAAGGUCCGAGGAUAUCAUAUCCUUGUGUUUGCCUCCGAGUAGUAGUAGUGGAGUAACAACGAAGAAAAACAAACAAAACAAGGUCCUUCUACUAGGAAACUUCCAAGCCGACUAACAUUUGAACA